AAAAAUUCUCUUCUUCUCACUUUUUGAAUUAAACUAUUCUUCUAUUUCAAAUUGGCCAUCUAAAUUAAACAAGAUUAAGGUCUCUGUGGGAUCGAUACUCACUUACCCUGUCUACAAGUUCUUAUCAAUUGAGAAAAGGGAAGUAAAUUUUAAAUUGACGGAUUCGACACCCGUCAAAUUUUGGCGCCGUUGCCGGGGAC
Molecule: long non-coding RNA, 200 nt
Filed under: Manihot esculenta (cassava)
Lineage: Eukaryota; Viridiplantae; Streptophyta; Magnoliopsida; Malpighiales; Euphorbiaceae
Description: long non-coding RNA (MESC_LNC009829)
Source: RNAcentral